RNAcentral lists this RNase P RNA (301 nucleotides) under Leclercia adecarboxylata. RNAcentral describes it as "partial RNAase P". It matches the Rfam family "Bacterial RNase P class A", at positions 43 to 351 of the family's 367-position model. Rfam says of the family: Ribonuclease P (RNase P) is a ubiquitous endoribonuclease, found in archaea, bacteria and eukarya as well as chloroplasts and mitochondria. Its best characterised activity is the generation of mature 5'-ends of tRNAs by cleaving the 5'-leader elements of precursor-tRNAs. Cellular RNase Ps are ribonucleoproteins. Lineage: Bacteria; Pseudomonadati; Pseudomonadota; Gammaproteobacteria; Enterobacterales; Enterobacteriaceae. The record is from RNAcentral.
GAGGAAAGUCCGGGCUCCAUAGGGCAGGGUGCCAGGUAACGCCUGGGGGGGAAACCCACGACCAGUGCAACAGAGAGCAAACCGCCGAUGGCCCACGCAAGUGGGAUCAGGUAAGGGUGAAAGGGUGCGGUAAGAGCGCACCGCGCGGCUGGUAACAGUCCGUGGCACGGUAAACUCCACCCGGAGCAAGGCCAAAUAGGGGUUCACAUGGUACGGCCCGUACUGAACCCGGGUAGGCUGCUUGAGCCAGUGAGCGAUUGCUGGCCUAGAUAAUGACUGUUCAACGACAGAANCCGGCUUA